Molecule: long non-coding RNA, 1838 nt
Organism: Anarrhichthys ocellatus (wolf-eel)
Lineage: Eukaryota; Metazoa; Chordata; Actinopteri; Perciformes; Anarhichadidae
Exons: 3
Source: RefSeq, a predicted model, not a curated record
CUCAGUGUGUCUGUCUCUCCUCUCAGUGUGUCUGUGUGUCUGUCUCUCAUCACAGUGUGUCUGUCUGAGGUGGUGCUCACACCACACAACCCCAACGUUCUGCGACAGCAACACCACCCGUUUAUCCGUCUGUUGAUCACAUUGUCUCAUGUGGCUUCACAGCUGUCUGAUGCACAUUAAGUGCUCAGAGUUUGUUUCUCUGUUUCUGCAGAAUCUACCACCACCGCUACCGCUACCGCUACCGCUAGCAGCAGAAGGAGCUGUGUUAUUCUUUUGUUAUCUAAUGUUCUUCAGAGGCUUUUCAGUCCAAACAAGAAACACAUGUUGAUGGAGAAACAGAUUUGUCUCUGCUUACUGUAUACUGAGUUCUCCUGCCAGCAGCUCCUAUUGGGCGAAGGUAUUUAUCAAAGCAAAUAUUAAGAUUGUAUUAAGCUUUAUUUUCUGACUGUCAAUUGUGUGUUAUAGUUCUCACUAUAGAUGACAAUAACACGGUCAAAUGAUAACAUUUAGAUUAUUUUUGCCGGUGAAACCCACAGUGUAAUAUGACGCCUAUGCACUGAACGGGUUUAGUUUUGUAUGUUUCUUGUUGCCUCUUGAUAAAGAACACUUGUGUGGUUUUUAUCCCACCAAUAGAUGGAUUACUCAGUUCCUGGUGGAUUGGAAGGAGUCCAAUGGGAUGAAUACACGUAGCAGUGCAGCUGUAAAUGAGAUCUUCUUUAAUGCGAGAGUAGUUUGAACAGCUGGUGGAACAUCAGUGAGUCACGAGAAGACACGUUUAUGAGGACGGUGAGAGGUUUAAGACUCUGAACGUUACCACACGUCAAUCUGAGAUAAAUGAUCUCUCCCUCCCUCCCCCUCUCUCUCUCUCUCUGCAGCAUCACGUUCCCUCGGUCCCGACCUUCAGACCGUCCAUGUCCGUCCCUGAUUGGCUGGUGGCCAUCCAGAACUACAUGAAGGCUCUGCAAUACAACCACACAGGAACCCAGUUCUUUGAGAUCAAGAAGAGCCGUCCACUGUGUGGGUUAAUGGAGACGGCAAGAGAGAUGAUCAGAGAGUCUUUGCCAAUCAAAUGUCUCGAAGCCGUCAUCUUGGGAAUGUAUCCUUUACUACACACACACACAUACACACACACUUCACAGGCUUAGUAUCAUCCAGCAGAGCUUCAAUAUUAAAGCAGCAAUCUCUCUUUCUCUCUAAAACAGUUUUAUUUGUGUCCAUUCAUCAAACCAGUGGUUUCCUCUGGACCAACGGGACCUCGACUUCAGAAGAAGAAUUUUGUAUUUUUGGUCAAUUUAAAAGAUAAAUUUGCAAGUCUCUGGAUAAACACAUGUCGUCAGAUAACGUAAACCAAACUGUGACGUUCUCGACUGGUUCCAGAGCUGCUGCUUUUAUUUUGUGAAUACCUUUUGGGUUCUUGUCAAAUAAAAUAAGCCUUUUAAAUUUGGUUCAUAAAGGUUAAAUAAACAAUAGAAACCUGUGACGGGCACAUUUCUGUACUCAUCCUUCAAAAUAUUGACUUAUUUGAUGAUUACAUCAGAAAGAUUUCAGAAUUUCCAUUUCAUAUUGAAUAAAUAAAUAAAUGCUUAAAAUGCACACAGAAAUAUUAAGUGCACUUAUUGUUCAAUAGGCUUAAUAUUUCCUAAUUUGAAGAACAAACUCUAAUCAUGUUGUACCAGUGCAACCACAUAUUAUCAUAUGCUUCAUCAACGCAUUCCCAGCAGGAGACGAGGCUCUGUUAAAGUGUAAUAACAGUGUAAUAACAUGUACAGGAGCCAGCAUGUGGCAUGUAAACUGUUUGGGUUUCUGGAGGUACUGGAGAGGUUCCUCUCCAGGAGGAG